Molecule: unclassified non-coding RNA, 244 nt
Filed under: plant metagenome
Description: partial contains small subunit ribosomal RNA, internal transcribed spacer 1, and 5.8S ribosomal RNA
Source: RNAcentral
UCUCCGUUGGUGAACCAGCGGAGGGAUCAUUACUGAGUUUACAACUCCCAAACCCAAUGUGAACCAUACCAAACUGUUGCCUCGGCGGGGUCACGCCCCGGGUGCGUCGCAGCCCCGGAACCAGGCGCCCGCCGGAGGGACCAACCAAACUCUUUCUGUAGUCCCCUCGCGGACGUUAUUUUUACAGCUCUGAGCAAAAAUUCAAAAUGAAUCAAAACUUUCAACAACGGAUCUCUUGGUUCUG